CCUUGGCAGGACAAUAUGGCAGGUGACAUUAAGAUUCCACUCUGCGUAUUUACAGAUCAGUAUGUGAGUAGAUGCAGAGAUCCACAGCCAGACAGCAUGCAGAGAGAGAGGCUAAAUGAGAGGUCUCCAUCCAAGCCCUCCUCUCAGAGCUGGGGGAAUCCUGAGGAAGAGCAAAGAAUGGAAAAGCCAGAGAGGAUAAAGGACACCAGGAAAACGAUGUCCUUUGAGUCAACUGAGCAAGGAGGUGACUGGAGAAGGAGACGCCAACUUAGGAGACCAGAAGAGAAACUAUAGACCUCAAAACAAUGUUUUCUUCCCUGCGUGAUGUAACCCUCCAAGAGCCAGGGUUUGGGGACUUUUUUUGCUGCAUGUCAGGAAAUGGAGCUGAGGCAGCCACCAGAAAAGCGCACAGUUCCAGCAGGGGGCAGCUAACGCCUGCCAGAGAAACCCAGCAUUCCUCCAGCCUCCCCUGCUCGCAUCCCUAAUUUUGCUUGCUGAUGAACUUUUGCUGAAAAUUCAUCACCUAGAAUUAAAAUUGAGUUGUUAGAGGAGCGUCAGUAGAAAGACAAAAACAAAACAAACAAACAAACUCCACCAAAUACAAAA
Molecule: long non-coding RNA, 606 nt
Filed under: Rattus norvegicus (Norway rat)
Lineage: Eukaryota; Metazoa; Chordata; Mammalia; Rodentia; Muridae
Description: long non-coding RNA NONRATT022020
Source: RNAcentral